This is a long non-coding RNA of Cyprinus carpio carpio, 375 nucleotides long. Lineage: Eukaryota; Metazoa; Chordata; Actinopteri; Cypriniformes; Cyprinidae. The record is from Ensembl.
CUGGAGCAGAAGGUUGAUGGCGUGCGGGGCUUGCGAGGUUUUGCCGGUCUGCAUGAUACCGUUCUCAUGCGCUGAGAUGCACGAUUAGUUGUGAUCUUAAAAUCUGUGUUUGCUUCACUAAACCUACAUUCUUCUGCAAGGCAUCUGACUUUUGUAAGAUCUUCUUUGAAUCGUUUCCAUCAAUGCAUCAGUCAAUCAAUCUUCACCAACACCACACACCAUCAGCAACUCCAUUUUGUUGUUUCUUCUAAUGGAAACGGCUCUCCAUGAGAGUUCUGAUGAGUUCGAGUGAUGAACGAGGACACAGUUUGGUGAGAGUAAGUGAAAAUCACACUCUCUUCCUCCACUCAGCGACUUUUAUGUAAAACAGUGCAA